CCUGGUUGAUCCUGCCAGUAGUCAUAUGCUUGUCUCAAAGAUUAAGCCAUGCAUGUGUAAGUAUGAACUAUUUCAGACUGUGAAACUGCGAAUGGCUCAUUAAAUCAGUUAUAGUUUGUUUGAUGGUACGUGCUACCGGAUAACCGUAGUAAUUCUAGAGCUAAUCGUGCAACAAACCCCGACUUCGGAAGGGAUGGAUUUAUUAGAUAAAAGGUUGACGUGGGCUUUGCCCGCUGCUCCGAUGAUUCAUGAUAACUCAACGGAUCGCACGGCCCUCGUGCCAGCGACGCAUCAUUCAAAUUUCUGCCCUAUCAACUUUCGAUGGUAGGAUAGGGGCCUACCAUGGUGGUGACGGGUGACGGAGAAUUAGGGUUCGAUUCGGAGAGGGAGCUCGAGAAACGGCUACCACAUCCAAGGAAGGCAGCGGAAGCGCUAAAUUACCCAAUCGAUUACGGGGAGGUAGUGACAAUAAAUAACAAUACCGGGCUCUUGAGUCUGUUAAUUGGAAUGAGUACAAUCUAAAUCCCUUAACGAGGAUCCAUAGGAGGGCAAGUCCGGUGCCGGCUGAACCGCGGUAAUUCCAGCUCCAAUAGCAUAUAUUUAAGUUGUUGCAGUUAAAAAGCUCGUAGUUAGACUUUGGGGCCGGUCGGUCGGUCCGCCUCGCGGUGUGCACCGGUCGUCCCAUCCCUUCUGUCGGCGAUGCGUGCCUGGCCUUAACUGGUCGGGUCGUGCCUCCCGUAUUUGUUAUUUUGAAGAAAUUAGAGUGCUCAAAGCAAGCCCAUGCUCUGGAUACAUUAGCAUGGGAUAACAUCCACAGGAUUCGGUCGUAUUGUGUUGGCCUGCCGGGAUCGGAGUAAUGAUUAAGAGGGACAGUCGGGGGCAUUCGUAUUUCAUAGUCGAGGUGAAAUUCUUGGAUUUAUGAAAGGCGAACCACCAAAAAAAGCAUUUGCCAAGGAUGUUUUCAUUAAUCAAGAAUGAAAGUUGGGGGCUCGAAGAUGAUCGAUACCAUCCUAGUCUCAACCAUAAACGAUGCCGACCGGGGAUCGGCGGAUGUUGCUCUUAGGACUCGCCAAGGCACCUUAUGAGAAAUCAAAGUCUUUGGGUUCCGGGGAGUAUGGUCGCAAUCUUUGAAACUUAAAGGAAUUGAUGGAAGGGCACCACCGUGAGUGGAGCCCUGCGACUUAAUUUGACUCAACACGGGGAAACUUACCAGGUCCGGAUAUAGCAAGGAUUGGAUGACCGACAGCUCUUUCUUGAUUCUAUGGGUGGUGGUGCAUGGCCGUUCUUAGUUGGUGGAGCGAUUUGUCCGGUUAAUUCCGAUAACGAAACGAGACCUCACCGCUAACUAGCUAGGCGGAGGCAUCCCUCCGCUGCCAGCUUCUUAAAGGGACUAUGGCCGUUUAGGCCCGGAAGUUUGAGGCAAUAACAGGUCUGUGAUGCCCUUAGAUGUUUCGGGUCAAGCGCGCAUCUACACCGAUGUAUUCAACGAAGUCUAUAGCCUUGGCCGACAGGCCCGGGUAAUCUUUGAAAAUUUCAUCAUUGAUGGGGAUAGAUCAUUGCAAUUGUUGGUCUUCAACGAGGAAUUCCUAGUAAGCACGAAGUCAUCAUUUCGCGUUGACUACGCCCCCGCCCUUUGUACACACCGCCCGCCGCGCUACCGAUUGAAUGGUCCGGUGAAGUGUUGGAUCGAGGCGACGGGGCGGUUCGCCGCCCAUGACGUCGGGAGAAGUCCACUAAACCUUAUCAUUUAGAGGAAGGAGAAGUCAAAACAAGCUUUCCAGGGUGAACCCGCGGAAG
RNAcentral lists this ribosomal RNA (1797 nucleotides) under Musa schizocarpa. RNAcentral's name for it is "bacterial SSU rRNA". It matches the Rfam family "Eukaryotic small subunit ribosomal RNA". The record is from RNAcentral. Lineage: Eukaryota; Viridiplantae; Streptophyta; Magnoliopsida; Zingiberales; Musaceae.